UCACUUUGGGAGAAGCCAGCUGUCAUGUGUUAGGACACUCAGGCAGCCUGUGGAAAAUCGCACAUGGCGAGGAACAGAGGGCUCCAGUCAAACAACCAGUGCCAACAACCACGUUCCCAGGUGCUGCUGUUGCUGCCGAGGGUCAGAGGACACACUCUGAGAACUGGUGCUCUGAAGAACAAUGGAACUAAUUAGCAACAAGAGAAGACCACAGAUAAGAAUCUCAAAUACCGAAACACCACUGAGGAGACACUACCCUGACAUGCUAGGCCUCAGGGGGAAAUCGUGUCUGGCCUUCACCUCCCCAGAAACGCAUGCUAAAGGCAAACUAGCCACUGAAGGAACAAGUUCAGCAACAAGAAAGCGAGACCCUGAAUAGCUUUUGCUAAUGAGAAGUGAUUUGGACAAACACAUUCAGAGAGUGCUAAAGGCCAUCUUGCCUCAGGGCCUGUCUACCACUCUCCUUCUGGAGCUCUCCUCUCAUCGGCAAGUAGGUUCAGCCAUCUCUUGGGAAGCUGAACCCACUCCCUCACUGCGCCACGCCCCUGUGAGAAUUAUGAAUUCUCGCAGCCAACCUUUUAUUUUGGAGCAUUUACCACAACUGGAAUCAAGUUGUGUCAUUUGCCUUUGUCUUGUUCAAUGGUGUCCUCCCACCACCUAGCACAAAACCUACGCAAAUAUUUGUGGAACAAAUGCACAGAUGCUAUGACCGAGGAACUUGCAAAUAUAUAUAAGAGGGUUUCACGUAGGACUUGCUGACAGCUUUGGUUGAAGUCACAAGACAAGCUGUGCCAUCUACAUCCACCACUUCCACACUAGUACGUCAGAUUCUGAACCAUAUAUUCCGGGACUCACAGAGGGGGGUAGUAAAAAUAGCCAGCUUUUCUUCCCUUCGCUUCUGGCUCGUCACUGGUGUAAAGGAUGGAGGUAGAAAAGUCAGCUCGUGUUAGAAAUCAGAGGCUUUCUAUAGAGGGUGACAGUGAGCUUCCCUCUUGCCAAAGGUUAAAGAGACCAGCUUCAUAAAGACCACUCAGAAAAACUAAUCUGUGACUCCUCAAGCUUGGGGGACACACAGGGCUGGCAUGUGACUCGUGCCUGAAAAUAAAGGUCUAGCAGAGUCGAGGAUGCAUUUGGAAGUCACUACACUCGUGGAUACCAAGCCAAAAGUGCUGAUUGGUCUAUGACUGGGGUGGAAGUGUGGGUGAGUGACCAGAUGGGAUACCUCUAGUUGGCAUGUUAGUGUGAUCAUUUUAAAACGGGCAGUAAGCUAUUACCUUCUUGCCUGAAGUGACGGUGGUAUGCUAUUGGAGGCAGAUGCUGAGGGGCGCUGCAAUGGCUGGCUAUAGGAGAGGCCAGAGGAGUCCAAGGCACCCAGGGUGGGCUCUGACAGUGCCCAAAGGAAACCAAGGCCAAGGACUUGAAGUGUGUCAUCCAAUCAGCCCUCUCAUGCUCCUUAUCUCUCCUCCCUACCUUCCGGUCCUUUCAUUCUGGGAAAUGCUGGGUGGUGGGAGGAGUGGGGAGAAUGGCAAAUAGCACUUGGCUUCCAGCCUAAAGCAGGCCUAAGCUGGAUGAGGGGAGAAUAUUCCAUUCUAAGUGGAUUUCGGAAUUGUGGCUGUUACACGACUGGACUUGCAAGUUAACCGAAAUUAGGCCCUUGCUAAAAGUGAAUACAGGACUUACUUAAAAGUAGUUGUCUGCGAGGAAUUCUGGGACCUGCCAGAAAGUUCAUCUCUGAAGACAAACAGCCCCCAAAAAGUAGGUUUGUAGGGACACACAUGACAAUUGCUGGUGCUUUGUGAUUGCCCUAUCCAGUCCCUCAUGGUCAAUGUGACAGUAUUGAUUUAAUCUUCACAGGCAUUAUUUUACCAGGGAUGAAAGAAAGAGAUCUAGGGAUUUGGGCAAAUUGCUCUGGGUCAAAGGUAGGUGAAUAUCAGGAACUCAGGCCCAGGGUGGAGGACUCCGUGUUCCAUUCUUUCCUCCAAUACCAUAAAGCAUUUUCUAUCUGCCUUCCGCAGUUUUUCAUGUACGGCUUUUAGGUCCCUGUUCCUGACCUGGCCUUGUCACCAUCUAUAUGUCAAAUCAUUUUUAACCAAAGACAAGGGGAAAAUGGUUAAGAAGUGCAUGUUAACAGAAGAGGGGAGCUGGGGUAGUUCACUCAGGCAAGAGGAGGGAAUGACGAGAAGGGAGGAGCAGGUGGGGAUGUGAGUUAAGGAAGGGAGGAGCAGAUGAUAAUUGGCUACCACAGUCAUAAAGAUUUGUCAACAGGGGCAGAGAGAGAGGAGGGAAGGAGGAGGGUGGAGAAAAAGGUGGCUUUGCUGAAGGUCCCUAGUGUCUCCUUACGGCUGUUCUCAGCUGCAGAGUUCUGAAGCUCAGGUGGCCACGAGACCCCUAGAGACCCUCUUGGCACUCCUUUGACAAGGCUGGUUUAAAUUAACUCUAUCCUUCGGAGGAGAAGGAAAAUCUUACAGGUAUAAGAAAAAGUGAUUUUCACGGCAGCCUUUUAUCCAAAGCAUCUUACCUAUAAUGAACAACCCCCCUAGUAAACUAGGUGGCAAGAAGCACUUAGGCUUCCAGACAAAAAGGCUCUUUUAAAAACUGUCCUUUAUAAAGACAACUGGAAAAGAGAAUAGAGUAUUCAAAGUUAAGCUCAAGUUUAGAACAAAUGCAUCAGCACUGUGUCUAAGUUACUGGUAGCCAAGAUGCCAAGAGAAGCGAAUGUGGUACUUGAAAAAAUUCAUAGAAAAAAAUGUAUUUCAUAGAGAAAUAGGAUUUUUCACAGAGCAAUCAAUAGCAGAGCCUUUAAAAUGUUCUGGGCUGUGUCCAUUUACCAGGGGAGCUCAAUCGCUUUUAUGCAAAUGUCUAAAUUAACCUAAUAGGGUUGUUCAGUUCUAGCUGGCUGCUUUGCUACGAAUAUUGCUACAAAGCUUUCCCCCUCUGAAUAAAAGAUGGAAAGAAAUAAAGUAUCCAAUAAAAAUACAUACAGAAAACAUACAAGGUGCCAGGCACCUCGCUACAUAUGUGUCAGCCCAGCAACCUCCAAGGCAGGUAUUAUCCUGUUCAUGAUGGGAAACUGAGGAUCUGGGGCUUUAUAAACAUGCCCACGGCCUGUGGCUUGUGAGUGGUGGAGCAGGACUCUAAGUCAAGCUGACUGGCUCGACUCCCUGCUCUGAACCUCUGUGCCCGCUGCUUGUGCUAUAGCACUGCUUCCCUGGUACUUUACCACUCCUUGUCUUCAUAUCCUUUUCCGGUGGUUGCUGGGCUGUUCUCAGCACCACCUAGAAGAGUGUGUAAGCUCCUGCGGUCUUAUCCUGCUCUCCCAUGUGCUGUCACUUAGACAUCUUCAUUUCACCAUCUACAACGUGAAGGUUUGGGAUUCCUGUAAAUGGAGAACUAGCCCAGCCCAUCAACAGCACUGGGCUUUGCUAGCUCUCCAGUUACAGGCAUCCCAAAGUACUUCGAUUAUCCUCAAAAUGUCUACCACUUGGAGGAUUACACAAAGGCUAGGCAUAAAAUAAAUGUCAGUAAAAUCACAUGGCAAAUGGACUUGCAAAGUCAAGUCAGUGUAUUAGUCCAUUUGUGUUGCUAUAAAGUUAUAUCCGAGGCUGGGUAAUUUAUAAAGACGAGGUUUAUCUGGCUCAUUUCUGCAGGCUGUACAAUAAGCAUGGUGCCAACACCUGCUUCUGGGAAGGGCUUCAGGGAGUUUUUACUUAUGGUGGAAGACAAAGGGGGAGCAGGUAUGUCACAUGGUGAGAGAGAGGACACGCCAGAUUAACAAGCAGAUAUGCCAUGAACUUAUUAUGGGAGGGGCACCAAGCCAUUGGUGUGGGAUCUGUCUCCAUAACCCAAACACCUCCCACCAGGCCCCACCUCUAACACUGGGAAUCACAUUUCAACAUGAGAUUUGGAGGGGACAAAUAUCGAAACUCUAUCAGUUAGUUUGUCAUGGGUGCCAGUCUGCCAUCAUUAACUGAUUCUUAGUCAUGACUUUGGGAAGAUAAAGUGCAAGAACACAAACUUGAAUGACAGAGAAGAUUCUUGGAGUAAUCCAAAUCCCUGGGCCACGUGAAUUUUAAAUAUGACCGAUAGAAAUAGUCUGCCUCAUUCAUUCUUUUAAUAAAUUGUUAUUGAGCACCUUUUAUAUGGCAGGCACUAGCCUAGAGGCUGGGGAUACCCUGGUGAACAGAGCCGUUUCUUCUCCCACGGACUUAAUAAUGCAAUUAGUAUCCAGUUAUAAUUAUGACAAAUGUCACAAAGGAGAAGUAUAGAAUGAAAGAGUAUAUACCCAGAGGAGCCUGGGUAGUGCAGGGGGUGGGGGUGGGGGCGGGGCCAGGGGUGGUUUAGGGAAGACUUCCUGAAGGAAGUGAAGCCUAAGCGGAGAGCUUAAGGAUAUGGAGGACUUAGCUAAGUGAGGAAGGGGAAGAGGGUGGUGGUGGUGGUACAGUCUACUUAGCACAGGAGGCCUUUGGGGUAGGAGAAGCAAGAAGUAUUGGAGAGCCUGAAGGAGGUGUGUGUGACUGAUGUGUGAAGAGUGGGAGGAACAGGCAACCAGACUGAUAAAGUAGAUCAUGCUAUCCAUGUGCUCCACAACGAGAUUCUGUAAGCCUAUUUGGAAUGAAGGAAGUCUGGAAGGGCAGUCAGCAUACUUCUAGAAGCCCCAGCUGUAGAACUGCAACAUGCUGGCCAAUUAUGUGGACUCAUCUGUAGGAAGCACUCUUCUACAUUCAUAGUCCUAGACGUGAAGUUCUUAUUGUCCAUCUACAAAUGUUCACAGGGUACCAACCAUCUAAUUACAGUAAGAAAAACCAGCCAGGCUGGCCAGUUGAAGGAGGCAGGCAGGAGUUGAAAUGACACAUCUCCAGUAUUGCACCUGGCAGAAUCAUCUGAUCCCUAACUUGAGAAUUAAGCAAUCAUGUCAGAGCCUACAGCCACUGCCAGUCAGCUUCCUGUCCCAGUCUCAGAAAGAUAAAACCAGUAGAGCAGGCAUGUGUACACCCAGUGUUCAAGAAAACAACCCCCUAACACCUCACCUUGAAACCUCUAGUUUCUGCCUUUGUCCCCCUUGCAAUCAGUCAAAAUGAAUUCAUUCUUACACGGAAAAUAGUGUUUCAACAAACACUCCUUCUUGCAUUCAGCAGAUAUUCUGUAGUUUAAAGAAUUUUUUUUUUUUUUUCACAGAGCUCCCAAGUGCUUUUACGAACAACAGUGAAACCCCUUGCAUGCCUCAGUAAGAAAGCAUAUUUUCAUUUUACAGCUGAGGACAGGAGCCUGUUGAAGGUCCAGUGGGAUAAGGGACUGGGGAGGGCACCUGACAGUCAUGGUGUUGGGAACCUCACUAAUCCUUGAGGCUUCUUAUAAACAUGACCAGAGACACCGCCCACAUUACUCCCUCUGGGUUUUUAAUACCAAUGUUUGAUUGAGGCUUUCUUCCCUUCCUCCUACAUUAUUCCUUCAGAAGAUUUUUAGAAACCAGAGGUUAAGGAUUCAGCUGGGAGAAUGCCCAUAUGUCUUCUCAGACUGGCAAGCGGGAGUCUGUUCCUGAGAUAGCCUUUUGGUAUGAAGAGAGAAUGAUAUGAUUACAAGACUGUACCCUUCCCUUCUACCUCCACUGCCCACUUUCAAAUAUCCUGUUGUUAACUGUACACUUUUGAAAGUAAAGUGAAUACGGGAAUCAACCUUUUCUCAAAGAGUGUGUUGGCCUCCCUUCAAAUGUAUUCUGUGAUUUCUGACAAAUCAACUCCCCCAAAAUAAUCCACUGAAAAUCUUUCUGAUCCCCACAUUCUAGCCUUUGGAACCAAAAGGGCUUGUCUAGCCUGUGUGGUAUCACUGGAAUUAUCACUUUGAAAAGAUUAGUCUUAUCCUAUAUAAACAUAUGAGGGCUAGGAUGGAGAAGUGGUUAGGAACACAGAUGCUGCGGUCUGACUUCCCAAGCUCUGCCAUGUACUAACUGCGUGACAGGCAAGUUUCUUAACUUCUUUAUGCCUUAGUUUACCCACCUGUAAAAUGGAGAUAAAAGGUGGUGAGAAAUGGGAUAAUGUAGCAAAAAUAUGUAACAAAGAGGAAACCCUCAAUAAAUGGUAACUAUGAUUAUUGUUCUCCUAGUAGAAAUUGCCCCUGGAGGGCGUGUUCUAUACUUACAAACAGGCAGAUCCCUGGAACAGAUUCUCUGUUCCCACUUCCUAGGGCCCCAAUAAGCAAUAUCUCUGUGAACACUCUGUCAUGGUUUUUUUUUUUUUUUUGUUUUUUUUUUUUUUUUUUUUUGACACAGAGGCUUGAAAUGAGACAAAGGAAAAACAAGUACCAGAAUUGCAAAGUUAACAUUUUUAUUGAACUGAAAUUGGUGUAGAACAGGGGCCACCAUAGCUGCUGAGCUCAGUAACAACUGAAAAGCCCCUGUGACAUUUUACCUUCGAGAGUCCUAACAUGGUUUGAGUGGAACAGCUGAGAAACAGCAUACAGAUAAUUUAACACCUCAAAAUAGUUUGAAAUGAGCCUCACAGCCUUGUUCAAUCUUCAGGCUACAAAUAACAUUGAUAGCAUCUUCUGUGGCCUUUACUUAGUAGUGCCAGUUAAUAUCCUUUCCCAAAACAUUCCUCUCAAAGUGCUGGCUAUAAUUUUUUCCCCAUUCAGUACACAUAAGAAAAGGAUUUAGUAACACUAGGGCAAGUAACAAACUGUAGAACUUUAAAAGUAGUAAAGGCAUAUACCAAGCAUACGUGACUCCAUACAUUGUCAGAAAGGCAGUGGACUGGCUAAAGAGUUUCUGCCAAGUUUCAGAAGCAAAGAAUGCCCUAAUGAAAAGGGUAAGGCAUCCAAGCAGAGUGUCUGAACUGAUGGACCAUUUUUGUCUAAAACUAAUUUCAACAUCUUCCAAUAUGCAAGCAGGCAUUUGUUUUAUAUAAUAAGGUUAAAUACUUUAUAAGGGAAAAGAAAACUCCUAUAAAGCUUAUAAGAUCAAUCAGAGAAAAAAUUAAUACUGAAUUUUUAUGAUCAAUGCAUGGAGCAAUGAUAUAAACUGACCAUAACAAUUUUGUGAGAACAAGUAUAAAACAUCCAUUACGACUUAAAAGUUGAAAGUUAACCCCUCUAAAGUAUUCAAAGGGGAAUAAAUAAUCAACAAGAUAGGAAACGCAAUGCCUAUAUUUUUCAAAAAACCCACAUCUGUUAAUGCUCUCUUGGUUUGAUUUAAACCAAUUGUUUAUUCAAUCUGGAGUUGAUUUAAGGAUGUUGGUAAAAAUCUUCAAAAGUCCUUCAAAUCAUUUGAGAUGAAAUGUGAUGGAAAAAAACUAUACAACUCAUUCUCUAAUCUUUAAUCUUGAUUUUUUUACACUAAUUACCCUUCCAAAACAACAAACAAACAAACAAACAAAAAAGGAGAUAAAUUCUUCCACCAGAGUAACCGACAUUUAGUGGCCACUAUUCCUGUAGCAAUCAUUUGUAAGAAUCUAAAAGUCUUGCAGCAGGGAAUGAAAAGUGAUUAUAAAUAUUUUAAUAGGCUGAUGCCCCAUCUUUAAAAGGGAUAAAACUUGGAUAAUAGCAGAUUCAGAGAUUUACAACUUUCAAAUUUACAACUAACAGACAGACACUUUUUUGCAAGGAUCUGUCCAACACAUACAACUAACAUCUAAAUUAAGGCUUUUACUGGUAUGGGAUCAGGUCUAAGGAUAUGCAAUGCUGGAUUUCCAUUUAGCAUCUCCAGCUUUCAUUGUUACCCAACUUGUAAACCAGAAGAUGUGCCGAUGGGCAGGAGCUCCAAUGGCUAACCAUUCACCAACUGGAAGGCUUGUUUGUAAACAGGUUCU
This is a long non-coding RNA of Sapajus apella (tufted capuchin), 7799 nucleotides long. RefSeq lists it as uncharacterized. The record is from RefSeq and is a predicted model, not a curated record. Lineage: Eukaryota; Metazoa; Chordata; Mammalia; Primates; Cebidae. The transcript has 3 exons.